CACCAACACAGCAGAGGAGCACUUCACAGCACUUGACCUCGUCACCUUCUAGAAGGAUGUUACUCAUUUGUUUACAAGUCAUGUCCUGCUGCAGUUCAGACAAGAAAUACGAGCAAUCAGAAAAACAAAGUCUCUUACUUCUUUGGGCAAUCCUAGAAGUGUUAUCUCACAUCUAGAGAUAAUUACAUUCUCAUAAAGUCUAAG
RNAcentral lists this long non-coding RNA (204 nucleotides) under Gallus gallus (chicken). The record is from RNAcentral. Lineage: Eukaryota; Metazoa; Chordata; Aves; Galliformes; Phasianidae.